CAGGCUCGGGUUUGUCCUCAAGGCCCAAACCAGGACCAAAAUGGGACACAACACCUAUAGAAAUAGAGAAUUAUUGAUUUAACAUCCAAUUUCCUUACAUACAAAAGAAAUAGCCUAUGUGCUACCAUUUGAAUAUGCUUUACCCCUAAUGGUUCACAUGCUGGAAGAUGAUACUAAGUGCAGUGAGACCUUUAAGAGGUGUGACUUUGGAAAAGUUAAUUAGGUAUAAUACAAAAGAGCUAUCUUAAUAGCCAUGUUAUUUUUGACAUAUUUAUCAAAUUGUUAAAUAUAAGAAGGGGUAGUUCAAAUUGUUUUAGCUAAUAUUUACUGCUUUUUUCCUCAGUACUCACGAUGGUGUGAAAUAUACACAGAUGCCAUUUGUCUGCCCAACUAUUCUUUGUCUGGUAAUCGAAUUUCAUAAUUUCCUAUCAUACUUCUGUUAACUGACCACAAUCAACCUCACUCUUGCAUAAUUAUUCCUGCUCUAGAGAUAUGCUUAUGACCCAAACAGUUGAUGUUAUCAGUUACCCUUAGCCAUAGUAGUACGUUGAUAGCUAACAUGAAAUUUUCUUUUCUUUUUUUUUUUUUUUUUUUGGUGUUUUUGGGACAGGGUUUCUCUGUAUAGUCCUGGCUGUCCUGGAACUCACUUUGUAGACCAGGCUGGCCUCGAACUCAGAAAUCCGCCUGCCUCUGCCUCCCGAGUGCUGGGAUUAAAGGCGUGCGCCACCACGCCCGGUACAUGAAAUUUUCUAAUGAGGGUUUAUGUUGGGAACUCUGGAAAUGAGAAUGGAUUAGAAGCUGAACAUCCAACAUCUUGAAGUGGCCAGCUGCCAGGCUGCCAUCCUGAGACAAUCAUCUUGUAGAACUGAAAUGAAUGAACUCACGACCUUGCCCAUACUUAGAUGAGUCACAAUGCAGUGACAUCCAAGUUCAGCAAAAACUGAGACAAGCCAUUCACGACAAGCCUACCUAAGCGUUAGGGUAUAGUCCAUGCCAGGUUGGGUAUGAAUUAUGGGAUUCACAUUCACAUGAACUCUGUAAUUUAAUUUUGCUUCACAAACAUGAAGACACUUUUGAAUGAGCAUAAAUGUGCUGUGGUCGACUGCUUUGUAAGUGAGUCUGUGCGACUCUAUCAUAAGAUAUUUAAGAUUAGCUUUUUAAUGCAUUUAUGUGAAUAAAUGAUUGAAUUUUUCCCUUUUGUUUGAUUUAGAACAAAUGUAGUAAGAAAGAUGUAUAAAUUUACCCUCACUAGAAGGGGAAAAGCUGCCUUUCACACGUAAGAACCCAAGUCAUACAUGCUGAAAUUCAUAUAUCAAGUAGCAUGGGCCCCAUCAAGUUUGCACACGCUCAGGGACUGCCCAAAUGCCAUCCUCCCAUGUGCUGCUAUGCACAUUUCCAGUUCCAUCUCUAGUUCUUCAGGAACACAGUCCAUGGAAUGGCUGGCCACAUCAGUGAGCAGAGAGCAAUGUCUGAGAGAAUCAGCUAUCUCCAGGUAAGUAAGAGCUGAAAGCUCAGUAGUGAUCUACAGGAUGGCUGGCCAGCAUAACAGGACAGGUCAGAAGGGGAAGAAGAUGCUUGGUGCUGGCCGAAAUUUUCCCUUUCUGAAGC
RNAcentral lists this long non-coding RNA (1608 nucleotides) under Mus musculus (house mouse). RNAcentral's name for it is "long non-coding RNA chr13:81239176-81240784". Lineage: Eukaryota; Metazoa; Chordata; Mammalia; Rodentia; Muridae. The record is from RNAcentral.